This is a long non-coding RNA of Mus pahari (shrew mouse), 1827 nucleotides long. RefSeq lists it as uncharacterized. Lineage: Eukaryota; Metazoa; Chordata; Mammalia; Rodentia; Muridae. The transcript is spliced from 6 exons. The record is from RefSeq and is a predicted model, not a curated record.
CGCAGUGGCUUUAGUCUCUGACCUGGACAACAAUCCACACAGAUUCUGACUGCUGGGAUCUGGCUGUGCCCAGAUGUGAAGAGGCAAUGCACAGAAAGGAAGAGGGCACAUGUGCAUGCAAGCUUGGGCAGGUGCACAUGGAGCCUGCAAGGAUUCUCCAGGGAGCCACCAUCACCCUGAUAUCCAGCGGGAGCCGGUCUGAGCUACGUGACUCCCAAGCUCUGCUAGCUGGCUCCCCAGGAAAGUAAGAACUCACACAAAUGACUUUUGGGGGUUUGUGGAAGAGCUGAGUCCUCAUCACUUCCUGCGGGCCUUUCUGAGCAUAAUAAGAUCCUCUCUCUUGCAUCAGCCAACCCAGGAGCUGCUGAUAAAUCAUGGCACAAGCUUGAGCCAGAGUUGACUUUAACCAUUGACUGCCCACUGAGCACUCGUCAUGUGCUAAGCAUUAUCUUAUUAAACCCUCACCACAAUCCUGCAAGAAAAAUCAAAAUGUUCUUUUUGAGAGCUUGACUUCCCUGUGGAUGAUUUUCCAAGAGAUCUACCUCCGUCCAUUGACAAGCCAUCCUGCCACAUGCUAGACAUCGGUGUGAAGGAGAAGAACACAGAGACCAUUCCUGGACAAGGAAGCUGUGCAGGAGAAUGGAACAGAGGCCAAGACUGUACUUCAGAGAGAUGGGAGGCCAGGUAAUGGCCACAGUUCUCUAAGAUGUCUUCUCUCUUGGACCUUGCUGGGACUGGAAAAGCACCCAAAGUUUUCCAGCACAGGAAAAAUUGAGACAUUGUGACUGGACCUGGUGGCAGCUGGAACAGUUUACUAGACCCUUGGAUACCAAGAACAGAGGCAUUCACUCUGCAGCAUGCUCAAAGACAGAGUGGGAAGUGUUGUCAGAAAGAGGCAACAAAGCUAUUCCCAAAUCAUCACCUCCAGUGCCCAGGGUUCCCAGAAGGAGAAUGGAUCUCUAGAAGCAGUCUGUGGAGGCCAUGUCUUCUUCACUGAGCUCUUCAAAUAGCAUCACAUGUGUUCUUUUACUGCACUGCACCCAAUGUCUAAAGUCAGUGGCGUUCACUGAUUAAGAACUACUAUUUUUUCAACCCACAGACAAGCGUACCCAGAUGCUUUCUUGACCACACACCCCAAAUUACCUGGUUAUGCAACCCCAGAAUCUGUGCCAGUCUGAGAAAGGACUGUGACUCAGGGCCCAUUUUGCACUGGCAUCUGGGAGCCCAGGAGGCCUCUGUGGAUCAUGGCUCCCCACUUCAUAGUCUAAACAGAAGUGCCCUGUCUGCUGUGUAUUGAAUACAGUUUCCCCAUGCUAAGUCAGUGCUGUUGGCAGUGACUUGGAAAAGCUGUCAUGCAAAUCAAAUGGUGACAAAGAAGAAUGGAGAACGAAUGAAAGCAGAUAGGAUAAAGCCUGUGAGUGACGAGGACAAGAAGAGGCUGCUCCAUCUCCUUCAGAGGGCCAAAUAUAGGUCUCCUCCAUCUUUUUACUGACGAUGGCAAUACCCAGACCCUUCCAAGAGCAGAACCAUGAACAAUACUGGCCAUUAAACAUAGAGGCAGCCCUUGGGCUGUCCCAUUGACCUCACACCUCACUUCUGGAAUCUCCGAUCUCCUCACACAAGCACCGUGUACAGCUAGACAGAUCCACAGCACUGGCUGUGAGAAUGCUGACUGGCACUGGGCUAGUCUCAGAAUUCCCUGAUUUGAUUCAUUCCCCUCUCUGCAAACUUCUAAGUCCAUACGUAAUAUCGACUCCCUAACCCUGUGUGGGCCUUUGUACUGCGGGCUAUCCAUGGAGAUCUUAGAGUCAACACGGCUCUAUCCCC